This 492-nucleotide ribosomal RNA is filed under the name uncultured bacterium. RNAcentral describes it as "partial 16S ribosomal RNA". It matches the Rfam family "Bacterial small subunit ribosomal RNA", at positions 29 to 507 of the family's 1533-position model. The record is from RNAcentral.
AGUGAACGCUGGCGGUAGGCCUAACACAUGCAAGUCGAACGGCAGCACAGUAAGAGCUUGCUCUUACGGGUGGCGAGUGGCGGACGGGUGAGGAAUACAUCGGAAUCUACUUUUUCGUGGGGGAUAACGUAGGGAAACUUACGCUAAUACCGCAUACGACCUACGGGUGAAAGCAGGGGAUCUUCGGACCUUGCGCGAUUGAAUGAGCCGAUGUCGGAUUAGCUAGUUGGCGGGGUAAAGGCCCACCAAGGCGACGAUCCGUAGCUGGUCUGAGAGGAUGAUCAGCCACACUGGAACUGAGACACGGUCCAGACUCCUACGGGAGGCAGCAGUGGGGGAUAUUGGACAAUGGGCGCAAGCCUGAUCCAGCCAUACCGCGUGGGUGAAGAAGGCCUUCGGGUUGUAAAGCCCUUUUGUUGGGAAAGAAAAGCGGCAGGUUAAUACCCCGCUGUUCUGACGGUACCCAAAGAAUAAGCACCGGCUAACUUCGUG